GCAAACUUGGUCAUUUAGAGGAAGUAAAAGUCGUAACAAGGUCUCCGUAGGUGAACCUGCGGAGGGAUCAUUACCGAGUGAGGGUCCUCGUGGCCCGACCUCCAACCCCUUGAUUUCAAACCUCUGUUGCCUCGGGGGUGACCCGGCCCCGUCGGGGCCCCCGACGGCCCAUCAGACUCUGCAUUUUUGCGUCGGAUGUGAAUAGAAAAUUGAUGAAAAACUUUCAACAACGGAUCUCUUGGUUCUGGCAUCGAUGAAGAACGCAGC
This 267-nucleotide unclassified non-coding RNA is filed under the name uncultured fungus. RNAcentral describes it as "partial contains small subunit ribosomal RNA, internal transcribed spacer 1, and 5.8S ribosomal RNA". The stretch from base 1 to 73 matches the Rfam family "Eukaryotic small subunit ribosomal RNA", at positions 1759 to 1831 of the family's 1831-position model. The record is from RNAcentral. Lineage: Eukaryota; Fungi.